Molecule: long non-coding RNA, 2767 nt
Organism: Numida meleagris (helmeted guineafowl)
Lineage: Eukaryota; Metazoa; Chordata; Aves; Galliformes; Numididae
Source: Ensembl
AUGCAAACUGGCAGAAGGCCACGGACACUGUGCCCGAAGGUCCGCAUCAAAAAGGAGUUAAAAAGAAAAAAAAAGAUGGGGUGGGGGUGGGGGGGGAUUUCCUUUUACCUUUUCUCUUCACGUGGUGUGAGGGUUUGGGAGUGGGCACUGGCGGGCGGGCGAGCUCGCUGGGAGGAACAGUUAUUGUGCCUACGGCCCGAGCUGACGCUCCUCACAGCCGCCACUUUCCUCGGACUCUCCGAAGUUGUGCCAUGUGCUGAGGGGCCGCGCUCUGCAGCUCCCCUGAAUUCGGCUCCCCGCCCGGCCCGGCCUGACAGAACGGAGAACGGCAGCGCGGCCCCACGCCCCCACACAAAGGCUUACGCCGCCGCCCGGCCGGUACGCAACUUUCCCUGCCCCGCGGCGAACAACGGCCGCCCGCCCCUCCCGCCUGACAGUGCCUUUCGCGCCGCUCCCCCGCAAAGUUUGCGGCCGGCCUCCUCGGGCCGGGAACGCCCGCCAGCCGCUGAGGGGCCGGGGGUAGGCGGGCGGCGAGGCGCGGGCCGGCCCCGCUGCGCGCCGUCCAACUUGGGGCGCCCCGUGACAGCCAUGUUGGGGUCAGCCCCCAGGCUCCCGCGAGGCUGGGCUCCGGGAGCGGGACGGAGCGCCCAGGGCACGGGCGGAGCAGAGCCCCGCGAACAAAGAACUUCUCGCCCCGCCGGAGCGGGGCGAGAGGAGAAAAGAAAAAGAGGGAGAAGCAGCCCCCGCCGCCCCGCGUCGGGACGACCUCCCGCCCCGUCCUGUCCCGUCCCCGCGCUAGCUCCGCACGGCCCGAGCCGAGAAGGAAAUAAAAACACCGCGCCGAGGAUUCACUUUUGCCCUGGCACUUCGAGCUGCCCUGAGCGACGGACUUCCAGGAAAGUUUCACCUAAGCUACCAGACUCCACAAAAUAGCGCUUUCGGGACAAAACAUUAGCGCAUGGCAGAGGUGAAAGCCUGCCUACCGGCCUCUCCGCGCCACCCUCCUCAGCUCCUCGUUGUCCCGCUCUGCUCCAUCCCUGCCUCUCAUGCACAGUAUGGUCCACAAACAGCAGCAACAGGGAGCCCAAAGAGCACAGAACUUACUGCUUUCUAUAUUUCCCGUUCUUCGGGAAACACUACAUCUUGACAAGACACCUUGCCUUCUCCCAGCUCUGCAGAUUGCUCCCCUGACAUUAGAGAAGUCUAAAAAAAACAUAAAUGAGCAUUAUUGCAGCCAGUUUCCAUCAAGUAUAAAGGCAGGGCUGGCUCUCAGGAAAAGUGUAUGUUUUUAAGUUGUUGCCAUCAGUGUCAAAUACUUCAUAUAUGCCUUUUUCAUAACCUGGCUUACAACAGAGCCAAGUAAAGAUUUGUUACUGAUGUCGAUGAUUCAACAAGGUACCAAAAGCUCAGGCUACCCCAAGCAGCUGACAGGUCCCACAAAAAUCAAUGGUACUUGAAGACAGGCCUGCUUGCUAUCUGAAAAUGAACAACCAGCCCUUGACACCACGCAUUUGAUAAAGCUUCCCUUGCCAUUGAAAACUUUCUGCAUCCUAUUGCAAAACAAAGCUGUAGGUGAGGGUUGGGACACCUCUGUUCACAGCUUUUUUAGAAACUGAGAGAAGGCAAUCUUAUCAGCGCCACCAGAUCUCUGAAUUUCCUCAGUGGCUUGUAUUUUUUUUCACCUGGAAAUCUCUGAGUGCAGAAGGGUAGCUUUGGAGAAGUGCUUGUAAUUUACAGAUGCCCCAAUUGCACCAGCCAUGCUGGGUACAUUCAUGCAUCUGUUUCUCAGUGCUGUAUGUACUCCUGACUUUUGGGACAGACACGCAGCUUAGAUGCUUUCAUGGCCAGGUACACAUUGUCAGACCUGCCAGGCUCCCAGGCACACCAGGGAGAUCCAGGCAGGUGCUGGCUUGCAGCAAAGAGGACCACAGUCUGGGAGCCAGCAAUUUCACAGCAUUCCAAUGGGCAAACCUGUCCCUGCCCCAAAUGAGCAGCACACAGUUGCCCAACCAAUGCUGCUGACAGGCACGGGGCUACACAGGAGGAGGCAUGUGCCACAACCAUUUCUGAACAAAAAUAUUAAGAGCUUAUAUUAUCCCACCUUUUUCAUCCUAUGUGACUUCCUUUUUGAUUCCUGAGAAUCAAACGUUUGUGAGCUGCCUUGUGAAAGUACGGUAAUAGUUACAUGGCACUGUGGUUGUUUUGGCCUACAUACAGCCGUAUGAACAGGACAGGAGGGGAGGGCUCAGCAUGUUUAGGUAAACCUCUGGAUCACUUUAAGAGUUAUGUGAUUCUUUCAAGUCAUAGAUCCCUUUUUUCUUUUUCUAUGUCUUGCCAAUUCCUUCAUAUUAUUGCAGACUUUUUUUUUCUCACACUAUUUUUUUUCAGUUUGUAUAACAAAAGCCUUCAAAAGUAACAGGGGAAAUUAACCUACAUUAAAAGUGCUACCUUAUAACAGAAACAAAUUAAUGGGGAAAAAUCUGUUUAUCUAACCAUUUAUCAUUCAGAAUUAAUAAUCUUAAGAUGUUAAUUUUGACAGUAGGUACAACAAAUGUUCAAACAGGCAUGAUUUUAAGUUGAGGAUGGCCCUUCAGAUUAGUAUUACUCUGACUUUUGAAAAAAAGAACUAUGGUUUCUUGGGAUCUUUGUCAUCUUCUUAUGCCAUAGAAGUAUAUUUCAUCCUUUUGAAAAAAAAUCUGAUUCACACUAGCUUAGUUCAAGGCACACGUUUCUGGUUUAAAUAAAUUCAAAAAAGCUUCAACUGCCA